RNAcentral lists this unclassified non-coding RNA (307 nucleotides) under uncultured fungus. Its description in RNAcentral is "sequence contains ITS1". Lineage: Eukaryota; Fungi. The record is from RNAcentral.
GUUAUUAAAUUCGUGUCCACAUCAGAAGUUGAUUGCAACUGCAAAGAGGUUUAAAAGGGCUAUCCGCCGGCGAGCGUCCUCGCCGAGGAAGCAACAAAUGGUACGUAUAAGCAAUGGGUUCAGACAGAGUGCAGAGAACUUUAAGUUUUUUUUAUUGCAGCGGCAAUUUAAAGCUCUCAUUUUGCACCCCCCUUUACAGGACCAACCAGCUAGUUAUUUUUGAACUGGCCGCCCUGUGUGACUGAAUUAUAACCGUUUUUUUUUUGGUUAAUCAGUAAUGAUCCUUCCGCAGGUUCACCUACGGAAA